This 23-nucleotide non-coding RNA is filed under the name Arabidopsis thaliana (thale cress). The record is from RNAcentral. Lineage: Eukaryota; Viridiplantae; Streptophyta; Magnoliopsida; Brassicales; Brassicaceae.
GCCAAUUGUGGUGUAAACAGUCC